RNAcentral lists this long non-coding RNA (797 nucleotides) under Homo sapiens (human). Its description in RNAcentral is "HSALNT0087587". Lineage: Eukaryota; Metazoa; Chordata; Mammalia; Primates; Hominidae. The record is from RNAcentral.
CAGGUCUGACCACCUCUCCCCUUCUAUAAUGAACAACACUGGAAAGAAACCUGUUGUUCUUUCUGGAUCAGCGAAACUUAAUACGUUAGUUAGAGAACUUUUGUUUUUGGACGAUUUUGCAUUUGCGAAUUUACCUAAUACCGUCCUACUGAUAUGUUUUAGUGCGGAGGAGGAAGCCACUUUCAUGUUUAAGGAAAAGCUUUAAUUGCCUGUACUCUAAAAAAGGAAAACGUUAACAUGGAGUAAUUCCUUCAACCACUACCCUUGUAACUUCUUCUGACCACAUUUGAUGCUGGGCAUUCCCUAAGGAACGAAUUGUAAAUAACGCCAUCCAAAUUCCUGAGAACAAGAUGCAUGCCAGGUUUCUGCCAGGAUAACAGUUGAUGCCUAAUUGAGCCUGGGAUUGUUAAAAUGUCUCCUUUUUAUAGUCCUGAAUAAUGUAGAGCUAAUGAACAGAUUCCAUUUUAGAUCUGAAAGCAUCAGCUCUCUAGCAAAGGUUUUUCUGUGUGUGUGAUUUGGCUUACUAAAAAAAUACAUAAGUAAAAAUAAAAAUAUAGAGACUCUUCUCAGCACAACCUCUGUCUUCAUAUAGAUGCUAAAUUUUUCAUUAAAAUUAUGUGUAAAUUGCUAUAGCACAUAUACAGCUAUUCUAAUACGAACUGAAUGAUGAAUUGAUUGGUCUUGAAAACUGCAUUCCAUUUUAAUCAUAUAUUUUGGUUCAGGAGUGAAAAAAACUGAAUCCUUGUCUAUUGUUGCCUUCUUUUUUCUCUGACUUUCAGACAUGUAGAACAUUCCCG